Molecule: ribosomal RNA, 101 nt
Filed under: Skeletonema dohrnii
Lineage: Eukaryota; Bacillariophyta; Thalassiosirophyceae; Thalassiosirales; Thalassiosiraceae
Description: partial 5.8S ribosomal RNA
Source: RNAcentral
CCACUCGGAAGAUAUAUCGGAUGAUCUGAAUAUUCACGACAUUCUUGAGACUGCUGUAGAAGCAAUCUGUAUCAGUGAGAAGAAUAAUGAUCGAGUUGGUG